Molecule: ribosomal RNA, 490 nt
Filed under: uncultured bacterium
Lineage: Bacteria
Description: partial 16S ribosomal RNA
Rfam family: Bacterial small subunit ribosomal RNA
Source: RNAcentral
AUUGAACGCUGGCGGCAUGCCUUACACAUGCAAGUCGAACGGCAUCGCGGGAAAGCUUGCUUUCCUGGCGGCGAGUGGCGAACGGGUGAGUAACACAUCGGAACGUACCGGCUAGUGGGGGAUAACCCGUCGAAAGACGGGCUAAUACCGCAUACGCUCUUCGGAGGAAAGCAGGGGACCUUUGGGCCUUGCGCUAGUCGAGCGGCCGAUGUCCGAUUAGCUAGUUGGUGGGGUAAAGGCCUACCAAGGCGACGAUCGGUAGCGGGUCUGAGAGGACGAUCCGCCACACUGGGACUGAGACGCGGCCCAGACUCCUACGGGAGGCAGCAGUGGGGAAUCUUGGACAAUGGGGGCAACCCUGAUCCAGCAAUGCCGCGUGGGUGAAGAAGGCCUUCGGGUUGUAAAGCCCUUUCGGCAGGGAAGAAAUCGGCGGGGCGAAUAACCCUGCUGGAUGACGGUACCUGCAGAAGAAGCACCGGCUAACUACGUG